UUUGACUAUUUUACAUAUAAUUUAAAAAUUGUACCAUUUUCAUGAUUUUAUGAAAACUUAUUCUCACAAAGAUGUCUACGAAUAUAAUUUCAAGCAAAAAAAUUACUACUCUUGUUUUUUUUUACAAUACAUAACUGAAAAAGCUCAAAACGCUUUAACAAUUUUACCAUUUUAAGAUAUCAUUCAAGUAUUUAAAUUCUUGUUUUCCUGUUUUUUUUUUUGUGAGUCAAAAUCCUAAAAUACCAUAAAGUUAGUUUUUUUUUUUCCGAAAACCAGCAUAAGUGCAUUACAA
RNAcentral lists this long non-coding RNA (292 nucleotides) under Brassica rapa (field mustard). Its description in RNAcentral is "long non-coding RNA (BRAP_LNC005287)". The record is from RNAcentral. Lineage: Eukaryota; Viridiplantae; Streptophyta; Magnoliopsida; Brassicales; Brassicaceae.